GGCAGAGGAAUCUCACCCUCAGGGCCACUUGCUGAGUUCCCUUCACUCUUAGGCCCCUGGAAAGGUCUGAGACUGAGGCCUCCUGCACCCUAACUGUGCUGUUCUGAGCUGGGAGGUAAGCUCCCAGAGUGCAGGCCUCUAUGCUUGGGCAGACUGGGCAAGAGAAGCCCUGAGUGGGUGGAUGCCUCCCUCGCCAGAGCUUAGAGUUUCUAUUUCAUCCAACUUUUCUCUGUG
This 234-nucleotide long non-coding RNA is filed under the name Mus pahari (shrew mouse). Its description in RNAcentral is "predicted gene, 26351 (MGP_PahariEiJ_G0032817.1)". It matches the Rfam family "Nuclear RNase P", at positions 1 to 208 of the family's 301-position model. From Rfam's summary of the family: Ribonuclease P (RNase P) is a ubiquitous endoribonuclease, found in archaea, bacteria and eukarya as well as chloroplasts and mitochondria. Its best characterised activity is the generation of mature 5'-ends of tRNAs by cleaving the 5'-leader elements of precursor-tRNAs. The record is from RNAcentral. Lineage: Eukaryota; Metazoa; Chordata; Mammalia; Rodentia; Muridae.